Long non-coding RNA from Clupea harengus (Atlantic herring), 307 nucleotides. NCBI's taxonomy places the organism in Eukaryota, Metazoa, Chordata, Actinopteri, Clupeiformes, Clupeidae. The record is from Ensembl.
CCCCACAGAAACAGGUGAGUUUUAUUUCUCCUCCUCUCUCAGGCCUGUCUCUCUUUCUCUCUCUCGCUCUCUCUCUCAGGCCUCUCUCUCUUUCUCAGGCAUAUCUCUCUCUCUCUCUCACUCUCUCUCAGGCCUAUCUCUCACUCUCUCUCAGGCCUAUCUCUCUCUCUCUCUCUCUUUCUCUCUCUCUCAGGCAUAUCUCUCUUUCUCACUCUCUCUCAGGCCUAUCUCUCUUUCUCUCUCUCUCUCUCUCUCACUCUCUCAGGCCUAUCUCUCUCUCUCUCUCUCUCUCUCUCUCUCUCUCACA